AAGGAAGGGAUCCCUCCUGACCAGCAGAGAUUAAUUUUUGCUGGUAAGCAAUUGGAAGAUGGCCGAACUCUUGCUGAUUAUAACAUCCAGAAGGAGUCAACACUUCACCUGGUUCUGAGGCUUAGGGGAGGAACUAUGAUCAAGGUAAAGACUCUCACUGGAAAAGAGAUUGAAAUUGACAUUGAACCCACUGAUACCAUCGAUCGGAUCAAGGAACGAGUUGAGGAGAAAGAAGGCAUUCCUCCAGUGCAGCAAAGACUUAUUUAUGCUGGGAAGCAGCUUGGGGAUGACAAAACGGCUCGUGACUACAACAUUGAGGGCGGCUCUGUGCUUCAUCUUGUGCUUGCUUUGAGGGGUGGUAGUUUUUAGAUGAUGCUUGUUACUUUCAGAAAAUCUAGUAACUGAGUAUUUGACUU
This 416-nucleotide unclassified non-coding RNA is filed under the name Hevea brasiliensis (rubber tree). The record is from RNAcentral. Lineage: Eukaryota; Viridiplantae; Streptophyta; Magnoliopsida; Malpighiales; Euphorbiaceae.